RNAcentral lists this ribosomal RNA (450 nucleotides) under uncultured bacterium. Its description in RNAcentral is "partial 16S ribosomal RNA". It matches the Rfam family "Bacterial small subunit ribosomal RNA", at positions 354 to 796 of the family's 1533-position model. The record is from RNAcentral.
GUGGGGAAUUUUGGACAAUGGGCGAAAGCCUGAUCCAGCCAUGUCGCGUGCAGGAUGAAGGCCUUCGGGUUGUAAACUGCUUUUGUACGGAACGAAAAGACUCCUUCUAAUAAAGGGGGUCCAUGACGGUACCGUAAGAAUAAGCACCGGCUAACUACGUGCCAGCAGCCGCGGUAAUACGUAGGGUGCAAGCGUUAAUCGGAAUUACUGGGCGUAAAGCGUGCGCAGGCGGUUUUGUAAGAUCGAUGUGAAAUCCCCGGGCUCAACCUGGGAACUGCAUUGGUGACUGCAAGGCUGGAGUGCGGCAGAGGGGGAUGGAAUUCCGCGUGUAGCAGUGAAAUGCGUAGAUAUGCGGAGGAACACCGAUGGCGAAGGCAAUCCCCUGGGCCUGCACUGACGCUCAUGCACGAAAGCGUGGGGAGCAAAUGGGAUUAGAUACCCUGGUAGUCC